This 28-nucleotide non-coding RNA is filed under the name Rattus norvegicus (Norway rat). The record is from RNAcentral. Lineage: Eukaryota; Metazoa; Chordata; Mammalia; Rodentia; Muridae.
UUGAAGGUGGCGUAGAGUUUGCCUGAGG